GACUGCCGGUAAUAAACCGGAGGAAGGUGGGAUGACGUCAAUCAUCAUGCCCCUUAUGACCUGGGCUACACACGUGCUACAAUGGUUGGUACAACGAGUUGCGAGUCGGUGACGGCGAGCUAAUCUCUUAAAGCCAAUCUCAGUUCGGAUUGUAGGCUGCAACUCGCCUACAUGAAGUCGGAAUCGCUAGUAAUCGCGGAUCAGCACGCCGCGGUGAAUACGUUCCCGGGCCUU
Molecule: ribosomal RNA, 234 nt
Filed under: uncultured Streptococcus sp.
Lineage: Bacteria; Bacillati; Bacillota; Bacilli; Lactobacillales; Streptococcaceae
Description: partial 16S ribosomal RNA
Rfam family: Bacterial small subunit ribosomal RNA
Source: RNAcentral